This 612-nucleotide long non-coding RNA is filed under the name Homo sapiens (human). RNAcentral describes it as "novel transcript". The record is from RNAcentral. Lineage: Eukaryota; Metazoa; Chordata; Mammalia; Primates; Hominidae.
UCAGCUUGCAGAUGCCUAUUGUGGGACUUCACCUUACAGUCAUACCCGAUGUGAAGCCUGACUGAGCAGAGUGGAGACCAGCAGCUGCACGUCAAGUGGCCUUCCCAGGACUUGACUCCAUAUGCAUGUUCUCGUCCAUGGGCUCAUACCCAGUCCAAAGGACUUUACCCCAGCUCCAUCUUUGCCCAGACACACUUGAGGCUGCAGGGUUUUGGUGACUGUAAAUUGGUCUUGACCCUCUGAGGAAAUGGGGAUGCUGCAGAAGACACUGGCUAAAUUGAUAAAAUGAGAUUUGUAACCACCCUGGGACAGAGCUCCCAGAGGGAGAGACGGGCCACUAUCUUUGCCAUUUAGAUGACUUAGCUGUUCCAGCCUUCAGGCCUCAGAGUAUCUGAGGAACCAGGGGCUGACAUGGACCCCCAGCACAGCACAGCUGCUCUACCAAAACAUGGCCAGACUGUUUCUUUAAGCAGGUCCCUGAUCCCAUUCCUCCUCACUGGGCAGGACCUCCCAAAUGGGGUCUUCAGCCACCUCCUACAGGUGCCUUUGCAUUGGCAACAAGCCUGUACCAUCCUGGGAUGAAGCUUCAGGGAGGGACUGCUGCUAUUUUUG